Non-coding RNA from Peromyscus maniculatus bairdii (prairie deer mouse), 1136 nucleotides. NCBI's taxonomy places the organism in Eukaryota, Metazoa, Chordata, Mammalia, Rodentia, Cricetidae. The record is from RefSeq and is a predicted model, not a curated record.
CGUUUCUAGCAGCAUCUUUGUCAUUGUGGUGAGCUCCGGCGUUGUCACUGAGAUUCCGCUGAGAGACCAUCAGUCUUCUCUGGAUUAUCAGGUUUGCAGGACCAACCUAGAGCUCUGGCUGUGGAUCCUGGAUGUGAAAUCAGGUACACGGUUGUUCCGAUUCCAGGGAUUUCCCUUUUCACCCAGGUUGGCUGCCUCUCCAAACACCAGUGAGUGCUGCAUGUUCUGACAUACCCUGAAGUCAUGCAUUAGCACCUUCUCACACAGCAAAGGGUUUGAGCUGGCAGCCAGCAGUUGAAAUUGACAUGUGAGAGUUCUAAGUCCCAGAUGCUAGCUGCCAACUGCCUUUUCGUUCGUGUUUCCCUGGAAACCGAGGACUGGUGAAAGGCUCUUGGGAAAGCAGCUCUUUGCAAAGGAGAAAAGGCUCGUAAAGCAGGACAAAGAUCUUCACCAGAAAUAGAUAUCGAAACAUCAAGGAAAAAAGCCCCUGUCAAUAAUGCCAUUUCCCUGUGGCACUGUCUGGCAGGCAGAAUUUCACAGUGUGAAACAAAAGCACAGCACACCAAGAGCGCUCCUGUCAAUGGGCCACUGACGACUCUAAAAAGACUUGCUGGUGGAGGUGGAGGGAUCAAGGCAGGGCAAGAAGCUGGCAGUGGAAAAACUCCUGUACAUGCGCCAAAUCCCUUGGAUUGCAGAAGUUCAAAAUUGGGAUAUUUAUUGUUUAGAGAAACUGUUCAGGUCUCCAUUGAAUUAUAACAGGAUUGCUACUAGUAAUUUGAAGAAAAUAAAUUAACUUCGUGCACUUAGAAUUCUAUAUAAUGUAUAUAAGUGUCUAUGAACCUUCUAAUUCCAGCUUGACUUAUUUAGAUAUGACAGUUUUUAAAUUACCCCUGAAUAUGUAGUCAAAGCAGAAUAAUCAGGUGUGGUCCCAGGCUACAGGACCUCAGCAGGUAAAAAAGAGAAGAAAUUAGAAACCAGUUAAAUAAUGUCAUACCAAUUUGGUUUCAUAAUAGUAGAAUUCUAUAUUGAGAAUCAGCAUUUUAGAAAUCCUGGAGAUAGUGAUUGUCCGCAGCAGUAAGUUUGCUGCCUUAAAUUUAAAUGCCCUUUUUUGUCCUGUCUCAGUUAAGUUGUUUGUG